RNAcentral lists this transfer RNA (71 nucleotides) under Stegodyphus mimosarum. It matches the Rfam family "tRNA". Rfam says of the family: Transfer RNA (tRNA) molecules are approximately 80 nucleotides in length. Their secondary structure includes four short double-helical elements and three loops (D, anti-codon, and T loops). Further hydrogen bonds mediate the characteristic L-shaped molecular structure. tRNAs have two regions of fundamental functional importance: the anti-codon, which is responsible for specific mRNA codon recognition, and the 3' end, to which the tRNAs corresponding amino acid is attached (by aminoacyl-tRNA synthetases). tRNAs cope with the degeneracy of the genetic code in two manners: having more than one tRNA (with a specific anti-codon) for a particular amino acid; and 'wobble' base-pairing, i.e. permitting non-standard base-pairing at the 3rd anti-codon position. The record is from Rfam by way of RNAcentral. Lineage: Eukaryota; Metazoa; Arthropoda; Arachnida; Araneae; Eresidae.
GCUUUCGUGGUGUAAUGGUAGCACACUGGGUACGUAUUCGAGAGGUCCAAGUUCGAAUCCUGGCGAGGGCG